RNAcentral lists this ribosomal RNA (253 nucleotides) under uncultured bacterium. Its description in RNAcentral is "partial 16S ribosomal RNA". It matches the Rfam family "Bacterial small subunit ribosomal RNA", at positions 524 to 776 of the family's 1533-position model. The record is from RNAcentral.
UACGGAGGGUGCAAGCGUUAUCCGGAUUCACUGGGUUUAAAGGGUGCGUAGGUGGGCUAGUAAGUCCGUGGUGAAAUCUCCAAGCUUAACUUGGAAACUGCCGUUGAUACUAUCUGUCUUGAAUAUUGUGGAGGUGAGCGGAAUAUGUCAUGUAGCGGUGAAAUGCUUAGAUAUGACAUAGAACACCAAUUGCGAAGGCAGCUCGCUACUCAAUUAUUGACUCUGAGGCACGAAAGCGUGGGGAUCAAACAGG